This 348-nucleotide ribosomal RNA is filed under the name Triticum aestivum (bread wheat). Its description in RNAcentral is "partial small subunit ribosomal RNA". Lineage: Eukaryota; Viridiplantae; Streptophyta; Magnoliopsida; Poales; Poaceae. The record is from RNAcentral.
UUUAAAUGGCAUAUGUCUAUCCUUGCUAUUGCUAACAAUUUUCAGCAGGCUAACGUAAAGAAGAGUUCAGUUGUGCAAGAGAGAUGGAAGAAACCUGACCCCAAAUUUGUAAAGCUGAAUGUAGACGCUGCAUUUUAUGCUACAGAAGGUGCUGGUGCCACAGCAGCGGUGAUUAAAGAUGAUAAAGGGGUCUUUCUAGCAGCACAAUGUAUUUUCAUUCCUUAUGCUUCUAGCGUGGUUACCACUGAAGCCCAAGCAAUGAGGGAUGGACUAAAUUUUGCAAACUCUUUGGGAUUCCUGCGAGUGGAGGCGGAAUCAGAUUCAUUGAUCGUAAUUGAAGCAUGCGAG